This 377-nucleotide long non-coding RNA is filed under the name Zostera marina. Its description in RNAcentral is "long non-coding RNA (ZMAR_LNC004406)". Lineage: Eukaryota; Viridiplantae; Streptophyta; Magnoliopsida; Alismatales; Zosteraceae. The record is from RNAcentral.
UAAAUAGGAUGUUAAUCUCCCAUCUGAAUCACCGCUAAUGGUCGACCUGUCGAAAUCACAUGUUCCGUUCCGACCAAAUGUUACGUUCCAGAUAAGAAUAAACCCUAGCAAAGAAAAUUCUUUGUGAACCUUUCAAUUCCUUCAUCGAGCCCAGCACGAAAGCCCAGAAAGUCAACUUCGAUGUCUUGGACCCAAUUUGACCCAUUCAGAUAUCAACCAUGAUGGAUCUAGAAAACAGAUUUAAAAUAACAGAAUUUUUUGAGUAAAAAUGAAGGAAAUUCAGUUAUUUUUAGGCUUAAUGAUGGAAUUUUAUUCAUUUUGGGUCCGCGGUUUCCUUACCUAUUAUUUUUGUUUUAAAUUCCAUCAUCAUUCUGUCA